CAGACUGCUUCCUCAUCCUCUUCACCCAUCCCCCAUAACCAAUAGGAGCAUGCCCACUGCCUCCACAACCUCAACAUGCUCCCUCAUGAAUCUCUCCCCCGCUCCUCUCUAGGGGGUCCAGAAGCCCUAGUCUCGCCCUCUCCUUCGAGCCCAAAUUCAUCUACCACGUGGCUGCAUGGAUCUGAAGGGGUUAUCAUCGGCUGUCAAGAAUAGAAAAAGAAGGAAGACACAGAGAGAGAGAGAGAGAGAGAGAGAGAGAGAGAGAUGAAGUAAUUAAGUACGGGAAAUGGAGUNNNNNNNNNNNNNNNNNNNNGAGAGAGAGAGAGAGAGAGAGAGAUGAGAAUUAAUCGGGAAAUGGAUGGGAAGGAAUAUGGAGAGAAUAAUCAAACAGAUGAAAGAGCUGCCCAAUUCGAUAAAAGAAAAUGCAACUUCUAAGGUAGGAAAUAGAUGGGAGG
RNAcentral lists this long non-coding RNA (455 nucleotides) under Elaeis guineensis (African oil palm). RNAcentral describes it as "long non-coding RNA (EGUI_LNC007714)". Lineage: Eukaryota; Viridiplantae; Streptophyta; Magnoliopsida; Arecales; Arecaceae. The record is from RNAcentral.